RNAcentral lists this ribosomal RNA (473 nucleotides) under uncultured bacterium. RNAcentral describes it as "bacterial SSU rRNA". It matches the Rfam family "Bacterial small subunit ribosomal RNA", at positions 8 to 526 of the family's 1533-position model. The record is from RNAcentral.
AGGGUUCGAUUAUGGCUCAGAACGUACGCUGGCGGCACGCCUAACACAUGCAAGUCGAACGAAGUAGCAAUACUUAGUGGCAGACGGGUGAGUAACAUGUAGGUAUCUGCCCUAUGGCCUGGAAUAACACGAGGAAACUUGUGCUAAUACCGGAUAAGUCUUUACGGAGAAGGCUUUAUGCACCAUUGGAUGAGCCUGCACUUGAUUAGUUUGUUGGUGGGGUAAUGGCCUACCAAGACUGUGAUCAAUAGCUGAUUUGAGAGGAUGAUCAGCCACAUUGGGACUGAGACACGGCCCAAACUCCUACGGGAGGCAGCAGUGGGGAAUCUUGCACAAUGGAGGAAACUCUGAUGCAGCGAUGCCGCGUGAGUGAAGAAGGCCCUUGGGUUGUAAAGCUCUUUCGUCGGGGAAGAAAAUGACUGUACCCGAAUAAGAAGGUCCGGCUAACUUCGUGCCAGCCGCCGCGGUAAUUC